GCCCGGGUGGUGAAAUUGGUAGACGCAGGGGACUCAAAAUCCCCCGCCGCGAGGCGUGCCGGUUCAAGUCCGGCCCCGGGCACCA
This 85-nucleotide transfer RNA is filed under the name Oligella urethralis. RNAcentral describes it as "tRNA-Leu(caa)". It matches the Rfam family "tRNA". Rfam says of the family: Transfer RNA (tRNA) molecules are approximately 80 nucleotides in length. Their secondary structure includes four short double-helical elements and three loops (D, anti-codon, and T loops). RNAcentral also lists the same sequence under 1 other name. Lineage: Bacteria; Pseudomonadati; Pseudomonadota; Betaproteobacteria; Burkholderiales; Alcaligenaceae. The record is from RNAcentral.